GCCUGUUGCCACCACGAGAGGUGGGGACUCAGGCGGGACCGCCGGUGACAAACCGGAGGAAGGUGGGGACGGACGUCAAGUCAUCAUGGCCCUUAUGUCCUGGGCUACACACGUGCUACAAUGGCCGGUACAGAGCGCAGCGAGGCCGCGAGGCGGAGCGAAUCGCUUAAAGCCGGUCCCAGUACGGAUUGGAGUCUGCAACCCGACUCCAUGAAGUUGGAAUCGCUAGUAAUCGCGCAUCAGCAUGGCGCGGUGAAUACGUUCCCGGGCCUU
Molecule: ribosomal RNA, 273 nt
Filed under: uncultured Spirochaeta sp.
Lineage: Bacteria; Pseudomonadati; Spirochaetota; Spirochaetia; Spirochaetales; Spirochaetaceae
Description: partial 16S ribosomal RNA
Rfam family: Bacterial small subunit ribosomal RNA
Source: RNAcentral